CUAAGAAUAUUCCGCAAUGGACGGAAGUCUGACGGAGCGACGCCGCGUGGAUGACGAAGGCCGAAAGGUUGUAAAGUUCUUUUGCUGGGGAAGAAUAACCGCAGGAGGGAAUGCCUGUGGGAUGACAAGAACCGGCGAAUAAGCCCCGGCCAACUACGUGCCAGCAGCCGCGGUAACACGUAGGGGGCGAGCGUUGUUCGGAAUUACUGGGCGUAAAGGGCAUGUAGGCGGCUUGGAAAGCCUGGCGUGAAAGUCUGCAGCUUAACUGCAGGGGUGCGCUGGGAACUGCUGAACUUGAGUGACGGAGAGGGCGCUGGAAUUCCUGGUGUAGGGGUGAAAUCUGUAGAUAUCAGGAAGAACACCGAUGGCGAAGGCAAGCUCCUGGCCGAUGACUGACGCUGAGGUGCGAAAGUGUGGGGAUCAAACA
This 427-nucleotide ribosomal RNA is filed under the name uncultured bacterium. RNAcentral describes it as "bacterial SSU rRNA". It matches the Rfam family "Bacterial small subunit ribosomal RNA", at positions 355 to 774 of the family's 1533-position model. The record is from RNAcentral.